UCCCAGGUGGCUCAAUGGUAAAGAAUUUGCCUGCCAAGCAGGAGACAUGGGUUCUAUCCCUGUGUUGGGAA
Non-coding RNA from Bos taurus (domestic cattle), 71 nucleotides. Lineage: Eukaryota; Metazoa; Chordata; Mammalia; Artiodactyla; Bovidae. The record is from Rfam.